Molecule: ribosomal RNA, 340 nt
Filed under: uncultured fungus
Lineage: Eukaryota; Fungi
Description: SSU rRNA
Rfam family: Eukaryotic small subunit ribosomal RNA
Source: RNAcentral
GGUUCAUUCAAAUUUCUGCCCUAUCAACUUUCGACGGCUGGGUCUUGGCAGCCGUGGUAACAACGGGUAACGGGGGGUAGGGCUCGACCCCGGAGAAGGAGCCUGAGAAACGGCUACUACAUCUAAGGAAGGCAGCAGGCGCGCAAAUUACCCAAUCCCGACCGGGGAGGUAGUGACGAUAAAUACCGAUACAGGGCUCUUUUGGGUCUUGUAAUUGGAAUGAGUACAAUUUAAAUCUCUUAACGAGGAACAAUUGGAGGGCAAGUCUGGUGCCAGCAGCCGGGUAAUUCCAGCUCCAAUAGCGUAUAUUAAAGUUGUGCGGUUAAAAAGCUCGUAGUUG